Molecule: long non-coding RNA, 1379 nt
Organism: Acinonyx jubatus (cheetah)
Lineage: Eukaryota; Metazoa; Chordata; Mammalia; Carnivora; Felidae
Exons: 4
Source: RefSeq, a predicted model, not a curated record
CUGCGCACGCGCGUCGGGCGCCCAGCAGAAGUCCCAGGGUCCCAGGACCCGGCUGGACGAGGCUCUGCAGAAUUGACUUGUCAAUGCGUUUUGGAUGGAUGUGAACAGAAGCAAGGACAAGGAAUGCCUAGGCUUGCCACUUGACGGAGGAGUCAAGGGUGAGCGAACAAAGGUCAGAGAUUUUUCAGAGCUCCCUGGAAUGAAGCCACCCCACCGCUUUGAAUGAUAACUCCUGCUCAGUCUGCCUGUCCCAGAGUCCAAAAGUCCUCCAAGAAAGGCGAAUGGACACCAAGGAGCAAAAACAACCCACAUCCCUGACGCUCCGGGCACAAACGAUUGAUGUUGGAACUUGAUCACUAAAAGAAUGGCUGUCCAGGAAGUAGAAAGAGUGCAGGCUUCAGAGUCAGACUGUAUUAUUGGGGAUCAGAUCCAGUGGCAAACAGAAUCACCUCCACGACUUUCAGGGCCCAGUGCACGAUGAAAACACAGAGCCCUUUGUUCAAAUAUUAAUCAGAAUUUCAAGAUGGCGACAGCAGAUGGUAAACCAGGUACAGGGCCCUUCCAGGUGGGGAACCCUGGGCCACCACGCAAGAAGCACACCCAUGAAGUUGAUUCUGACUGCAGAUAACAGUAAACAAAUACCAGAGACGCAAGCAAGAUAGACGUUUCUGUCUCACGUGUAAGUCCAAAGGCAAACGCUCCAGGGUUACUUGGCAAAACUGUCAGGGACCCAGGCUUUUUCCAGCUCACCCAUGUGGCCCCACCCAUCCUUAUGGUCCAAGCUGUCCUGUCUGUGUUCAAGGAACUGAGGAAUGCCCAGGGUGUCGGCGUGCAGGAAGAUGAUGGGGCAAGGAGCCCUGUGAAGGCUCCAGCGAAGGAUCCACCUCGCUCCUUCCAACUUUUUGUGUUUUUCCACCAUCUUGGGUACUUCUGGGCGUGUAGACUUCUUGUAUCUUAUCCCUGUAUCUUAACAUCAGCUUCCCUUUGUGCCCAAAUUUCCCUUCCUGUAAGGACACCAAUCAUAUUGGAUUGGGGGUCACCCCAAUGACCUUAUCUUAAGCUGGUUAAAUCUGCAAAGAUCCUAUUUCUAAAUAAGGUCACAUUCUGAGGUCCUCGGGGUUAGGACUGAAACAUAGUUUGGAGACACAAUAUAACCCAUAAGAAGAAAAGAUGGUAAAGAUCUGAUGUGAGAGGGUGUUUAAUGAUUGUAGAGUUGAGGACGGUUUCCUCCAUUGACAUGGAAAAGCCCAGAAUGGGCAAAUUCCUAGAGACAGAAAUCAGAGCAGAGGUUGUCCGAGACUGGGGGUGGGAGUAAACAGGGAGUGGAUGCUAAUGAACACGGGCGUUCUUUUUUGCACGAUAAAAAUGCUCUCCAGUUA